Molecule: long non-coding RNA, 229 nt
Organism: Cucurbita maxima (winter squash)
Lineage: Eukaryota; Viridiplantae; Streptophyta; Magnoliopsida; Cucurbitales; Cucurbitaceae
Exons: 2
Source: RefSeq, a predicted model, not a curated record
CAAAUGAGGCAGUGCAAAAGAUCAGAGAAAGAAUGCGUACUGCUCAGAGCAGACAUAAAGUUAUGCAAACUCAAGAUGAAGGAAUCUAGAGUUUGAAGUGGGCGACAUGGUGUUCUUGAAGGUGACCCCAAUGAAAGGUGUCCUAAGGUUUGGACGCAAAGGCAAAUUGAGUCCACGCUUUAUAGGACCUUUUGAAAUUUUGGAGCGGAUUGGACCCGUUGCGUAUAGA